This 448-nucleotide ribosomal RNA is filed under the name uncultured bacterium. RNAcentral describes it as "partial 16S ribosomal RNA". It matches the Rfam family "Bacterial small subunit ribosomal RNA", at positions 331 to 795 of the family's 1533-position model. The record is from RNAcentral.
CCAGACUCCUACGGGAGGCAGCAGUCGGGAAUAUUGCGCAAUGGAGGAAACUCUGACGCAGUGACGCCGCGUAUAGGAAGAAGGUUUUCGGAUUGUAAACUAUUGUCCACAGGGAAGAAAAAAGACUGUACCUGUGAAGAAAGCUCCGGCUAACUACGUGCCAGCAGCCGCGGUAAUACGGAGGAUCCGAGCGUUAUCCGGAUUCAUUGGGUUUAAAGGGUGCGUAGGUUGUUUUAUAAGUUAGCGGUGAAAUACCGAUGCUCAACAUCGGGGCUGCCGCUAAUACUGUAGGACUAGAGAUCGGAUGCAGCAGGCGGAAUGUGUAGUGUAGCGGUGAAAUGCAUAGAUAUUACACAGAACACCGAUUGCGAAGGCAGCUUGCUAGGCCGGAUCUGACACUGAUGCACGAAAGCGUGGGGAUCGAACAGGAUUAGAUACCCCAGUAGUU